GACGAACGCUGGCGGCGUGCUUAACACAUGCAAGUCGAACGGAAAGGCCCUGCUUUUGUGGGGUGCUCGAGUGGCGAACGGGUGAGUAACACGUGAGUAACCUGCCCUUGACUUUGGGAUAACUUCAGGAAACUGGGGCUAAUACCGGAUAGGAGCUCCUGCUGCAUGGUGGGGGUUGGAAAGUUUCGGCGGUUGGGGAUGGACUCGCGGCUUAUCAGCUUGUUGGUGGGGUAGUGGCUUACCAAGGCUUUGACGGGUAGCCGGCCUGGGAGGGUGACCGGCCACAUGGGGACUGAGAGACGGCCCAGACUCCUACGGGAGGCAGCAGUGGGGAAUAUUGCACAAUGGGCGGAAGCCUGAUGCAGCGACGCCGCGUGCGGGAUGACGGCCUUCGGGUUGUAAACCGCUUUCGCCUGUGACGAAGCGUGAGUGACGGUAAUGGGUAAAGAAGCACCGGCUAACUACGUG
RNAcentral lists this ribosomal RNA (468 nucleotides) under uncultured bacterium. Its description in RNAcentral is "partial 16S ribosomal RNA". It matches the Rfam family "Bacterial small subunit ribosomal RNA", at positions 28 to 507 of the family's 1533-position model. The record is from RNAcentral.